RNAcentral lists this long non-coding RNA (731 nucleotides) under Helianthus annuus (common sunflower). Lineage: Eukaryota; Viridiplantae; Streptophyta; Magnoliopsida; Asterales; Asteraceae. The record is from RNAcentral.
ACCGUUUCUUUUAUUCCUAUUUUUUUUUCUUUAAUGAACAACCCAUUUAGGGUUACAACAAAAGCACAGAACAAGUGAACAAGAGCAGACUCGCAGCCUCGUAGGUAUCGAACAAGAACAACAACGCCUCCACCCUCACCCUCUUCCCUCCGGCUGUCCUCCUCCCUCCAGCGACCACCUCACCGUCCUCCCUGCAACGGAAGGAACCAAGCAGAAGGUUUGUAAUAUUUAGCGAAACUGCAAUGGAAGGAACCAAAUAGAAGGUUGUGUUAUCGAUUCCGGUGGCGAAAAGCUGAGGAAUUUGGGGUAAAUCAGGGAAAAUUGGAAAGGGUCAGAUGGCUAAACCUAGGGUUCUUGCAAUCACCAGUUAUGGAAUUUGGUCAUGGUGUAGAAUUAACAGAGAAAUUGGAGGAGUUGCAGAGUAGCUAUAGAUUGUCAACUAAAGGAAGCUUUAAUGUUGAUUUACAAUGACUAAUGAGGCAUACACACCUUCACAACCGAAGCAAUCUCACUUGUACGAUCUCCAAUAUAUUCUUUCGAGUCCCUUUGAACGAGAUUUUUGUGCUUAUAGUAUAAGACCAAGAUAGGUGUUGUUAAAAAGUUGUAAGAAUAAUCCAAAUCCAUACUAAAACAACUAGUUUUCUUUCACAAUCGCCGCGUUGCGGCGAACUUCUUUUGUUAUUUAGUCUGUGUUUACAUGUGUUUUGAAAUCAUUACGAGGGCGUUGCGCA